UUUUUUUUUUUUUGAGAAUAACUUUGUUGAGUAUGAUUACUAACAAUAAAAAACUCUGUUUGGUGAAAGACGGUAAAAUCAAAUCAAUUGAGCGAAUCAACCUCCACUCUCUCCCAAUCCCAAUCAUGGAGGAGGAGAGUGUAUAUAUAUAUUGGGGGUAACAAUAUCGGAAAGCCGCUGUGUAAUCUGACCGGCAAGUGUGGAUCUGUUACUGUGACGAUGGUUCCGGCGCCUCGUGCAUCUGGAAUUGUGGCGGCGCGUGUGCACACGUAACAAGGUUCUUCAGUUUCCCGGAGUAGAGGAUGUUUUUACCUCGGAAACUGAGGUAACUUUCGAACGUCUGAUGAAGGCCUAUGGAUUCCUAACUCGAGACUUUUGAAAGGAGAAUCGAUUCUGAAAAACACCUUUCCAAGAGUACACUGCUCUUAUCGCAAAUCCCACCAGACAAUAUUGUUCAAGUAAUUGGUGAAGUCGAGGCCUGAGCUUUGAUGAAUGAACCGUAAUUGAGUAGCUGAUUUUCAGUUUGUUUAUAUUUUUCUUAGUAGUUAAAUAUCAUUUCCAUUAUGAAUUGUAAUUUCUCGCUAACUACAUUUCAACAUUUUGCAGGGGAAUGAAUUUUGCCCUCUUGCUUUAGAAGUUGUUCAUAACGCAGCUGGAUUGUUCAUUCUUCUGAAGAUCAAGUCAACAGUGUACCAUUGAUAAAACCAUGGCACUCGGUUUGUUUCGGCUUUUUCCAAGUUAGACCAUACAAGGACGGCUGAAGAAUGGAAGAGGCGGUGGUGGGUGGUUGGGAGGAGUGAGGGUACUACUACUGGUGGUGGUAGAGUUGUGGGGCCCGCAACCGCUCAAACAAAUACAGCCACCGUCACAUUCAAAAUCCUCAAAUCCACUGCAGAAUAUGGCACAAGCGCGGGGCUCGCAUUUCUCCUUUGGAUAACACUUUGUUCUGUAUUUGCGCGUGCAGUUUUUUCCGCCCUCCACUGC
Molecule: non-coding RNA, 984 nt
Organism: Erythranthe guttata (spotted monkey flower)
Lineage: Eukaryota; Viridiplantae; Streptophyta; Magnoliopsida; Lamiales; Phrymaceae
Source: RefSeq, a predicted model, not a curated record